UACGUAGGGGGCAAGCGUUGUCCGGAUUUAUUGGGCGUAAAGAGCGUGUAGGCGGCUUGGAAGGUCAGCUGUGAAAACUCGAGGCUCAACCUCGAGACGUCGGUUGAAACCACCUGGCUAGAGUCCGGAAGAGGAGUGUGGAAUUCCCGGUGUAGCGGUGAAAUGCGCAGAUAACGGGAAGAACACCCGUGGCGAAGGCGGCACUCUGGGCCGAUAUUGACGCUGAGGAGCGAAAGCGUGGGGAGCAAACAGG
RNAcentral lists this ribosomal RNA (253 nucleotides) under uncultured bacterium. RNAcentral's name for it is "partial 16S ribosomal RNA". It matches the Rfam family "Bacterial small subunit ribosomal RNA", at positions 524 to 776 of the family's 1533-position model. The record is from RNAcentral.